AGUGAACGCUGGCGGUAGGCCUAACACAUGCAAGUCGAACGGCAGCACAGUAAGAGCUUGCUCUUACGGGUGGCGAGUGGCGGACGGGUGAGGAAUACAUCGGAAUCCACUUUUUCGUGGGGGAUAACGUAGGGAAACUUACGCUAAUACCGCAUACGACCUACGGGUGAAAGCAGGGGAUCUUCGGACCUUUCGCGAUUGAAUGAGCCGAUGUCGGAUUAGCUAGUUGGCGGGGUAAAGGCCCACCAAGGCGACGAUGCGUAGCUGACCUGAGAGGAUGAUCGGCCACACUGGAAAUGAGACACGGUCGAGACUCCGACGGGGAGAAGCAGUAGGGAAUCUUGCGGAAUGGGCGAAAGCCUGACGGAGCAACGCGGCGUGAGUGAUGAAGGUCUUCUGAUCGUAAAAAUCUGUUAUUAGGGAAGAACAUAUGUGGAAGUAACUGUGCACAUCUUGACGGUAGCUAAUCAGAAAGCCACGGCUAACUACGUG
This 492-nucleotide ribosomal RNA is filed under the name uncultured bacterium. RNAcentral describes it as "partial 16S ribosomal RNA". It matches the Rfam family "Bacterial small subunit ribosomal RNA", at positions 29 to 507 of the family's 1533-position model. The record is from RNAcentral.